AAUACGUAGGGUGCGAGCGUUGUCCGGAAUUAUUGGGCGUAAAGGGCUCGUAGGCGGUUUGUCGCGUCGGGAGUGAAAACACUGGGCUUAACCCAGUGCUUGCUUUCGAUACGGGCAGACUAGAGGUAUGCAGGGGAGAACGGAAUUCCUGGUGUAGCGGUGAAAUGCGCAGAUAUCAGGAGGAACACCGGUGGCGAAGGCGGUUCUCUGGGCAUGUCCUGACGCUGAGGAGCGAAAGUGUGGGGAGCGAACAGGA
RNAcentral lists this ribosomal RNA (256 nucleotides) under uncultured prokaryote. RNAcentral describes it as "partial 16S ribosomal RNA". It matches the Rfam family "Bacterial small subunit ribosomal RNA", at positions 522 to 777 of the family's 1533-position model. The record is from RNAcentral.